Molecule: ribosomal RNA, 474 nt
Filed under: uncultured bacterium
Lineage: Bacteria
Description: partial 16S ribosomal RNA
Rfam family: Bacterial small subunit ribosomal RNA
Source: RNAcentral
GACGAACGCUGGCGGCGUGCUUAACACAUGCAAGUCGAGCGGUAAGGCUCCUUCGGGAGUACACGAGCGGCGAACGGGUGAGUAACACGUGAGUAAUCUGCCCUUCACUUCGGGAUAACCACCGGAAACGGGGGCUAAUACCGAAUACGACCAGUCUUCGCAUGAGGUGCUGGUGGAAAGUCUUUUCGGUGAAGGAUGUGCUCGCGGCCUAUCAGCUUGUUGGUGGGGUAAUGGCCUAACAAGGCUUCGACGGGUAGCCGGCCUGAGAGGGUGACCGGCCACACUGGGACUGAGACACGGCCCAGACUCCUACGGGAGGCAGCAGUGGGGAAUAUUGGACAAUGGGCGAAAGCCUGAUCCAGCAACGCCGCGUGAGGGAUGACGGCCUUCGGGUUGUAAACCUCUUUCAGUACCGACGAAGCGCCCUGUCGGGUGGUGACGGUAGGUACAGAAGAAGGACCGGCCAACUACGUG